Molecule: ribosomal RNA, 685 nt
Filed under: uncultured Actinomycetes bacterium
Lineage: Bacteria; Bacillati; Actinomycetota; Actinomycetes
Description: bacterial SSU rRNA
Rfam family: Bacterial small subunit ribosomal RNA
Source: RNAcentral
CUUUCGGGGGUACUCGAGCGGCGAACGGGUGAGUAACACGUGAGUAAUCUGCCCUGCGCUCUGGGAUAGCCACCGGAAACGGUGAUUAAUACCGGAUAGGACCACUUCACGCAUGUGAUGGUGGUGGAAAGUUUUUUCGGCGCAGGAUGUGCUCGCGGCCUAUCAGCUUGUUGGUGAGGUAACGGCUCACCAAGGCUUUGACGGGUAACCGGCCUGAGAGGGUGACCGGUCACACUGGGACUGAGACACGGCCCAGACUCCUACGGGAGGCAGCAGUGGGGAAUAUUGGACAAUGGGCGGAAGCCUGAUCCAGCAACGCCGCGUGAGGGAUGACGGCCUUCGGGUUGUAAACCUCUUCCAGUACCGACGAAGCGAAAGUGACGGUAGGUACAGAAGAAGGACCGGCCAACUACGUGCCAGCAGCCGCGGUAAUACGUAGGGUCCGAGCGUUGUCCGGAAUUAUUGGGCGUAAAGGGCUCGUAGGCGGUUUGUCGCGUCGGGAGUGAAAACACCGGGCUUAACUCGGUGCUUGCUUUCGAUACGGGCAGACUAGAGGUAUGCAGGGGAGAAUGGAAUUCCUGGUGUAGCGGUGAAAUGCGCAGAUAUCAGGAGGAACACCGGUGGCGAAGGCGGUUCUCUGGGCAUUACCUGACGCUGAGGAGCGAAAGUGUGGGGAGCGAACAGG